RNAcentral lists this ribosomal RNA (516 nucleotides) under Ptychadena aff. porosissima A. RNAcentral describes it as "partial 16S ribosomal RNA". It matches the Rfam family "Bacterial large subunit ribosomal RNA", at positions 1915 to 2597 of the family's 2925-position model. Lineage: Eukaryota; Metazoa; Chordata; Amphibia; Anura; Ptychadenidae. The record is from RNAcentral.
UGACAGGAUUUAACGGCCGCGGUACUCUGACCGUGCAAAGGUAGCACAAUCACUUGUUCUCUAAAUAGGGACUAGAAUCAAUGGCAUCACGAAGGUCCCACUGUCUCCUUUUUCUAAUCAGUGAAACUGAUCUUCCCGUGAAGAAGCGGGAAUAACUUUAUAAGACGAGAAGACCCCAUGGAGCUUCAAAUUCAAUAGUUACCUCAUGUAAACUACACGACAAUUAAGAGAAAUAGCUAUUAAUUUUGGAUUGGGGUGAUCACGGAAAAUAGUACAACCUCCGCAAUGAAUAGAACAUAUUCUUAUCCAUGAGCGACACCUCUAAGAAUUAUUAAAUUAUCAUACAAUGAUCCGAUAUUACUAUUCGAUCAAUGAACCAAGUUACCCUGGGGAUAACAGCGCCAUCCACUUUAAGAGUUCAUAUCGACAAGUGGGUUUACGACCUCGAUGUUGGAUCAGGGUAUCCCAGUGGUGCAGCCGCUACUAAAGGUUCGUUUGUUCAACGAUUAAAACCCU